GACGAACGCUGGCGGCGUGCUUAACACAUGCAAGUCGAACGGAAAGGCCCUGCUUUUGUGGGGUGCUCGAGUGGCGAACGGGUGAGUAACACGUGAGUAACCUGCCCUUGACUUUGGGAUAACUUCAGGAAACUGGGGCUAAUACCGGAUAGGAGCUCCUGCUGCAUGGUGGGGGUUGGAAAGUUUCGGCGGUUGGGGUUGGACUCGCGGCUUAUGAGCUUGUUGGUGGGGUAGUGGCUUACCAAGGCUUGGACGGGUAGCCGGCCUGAGAGGGUGACCGGCCCCAUAGGGACAGGGGUGCGACCAGGAGUGCAUCGGGAGGAAGGGGUGGAGAAUAUAGCAAGAAGGGCGGAGGCCUGGUGCAGCGACGCCGGGUGGGGAAUGGCGGCCUUCGGGUAGUAAACCGCUUUCGCCUAUGACGGAGCGUGAGUAACGGUAAUGGGUAAAGAGGCACGGGCAAACUACGU
This 467-nucleotide ribosomal RNA is filed under the name uncultured bacterium. Its description in RNAcentral is "partial 16S ribosomal RNA". It matches the Rfam family "Bacterial small subunit ribosomal RNA", at positions 28 to 506 of the family's 1533-position model. The record is from RNAcentral.